AGUGAACGCUGGCGGUAGGCCUAACACAUGCAAGUCGAACGGCAGCACAGUAAGAGCUUGCUCUUACGGGUGGCGAGUGGCGGACGGGUGAGGAAUACAUCGGAAUCUACUUUUUCGUGGGGGAUAACGUAGGGAAACUUACGCUAAUACCGCAUACGACCUACGGGUGAAAGCAGGGGAUCUUCGGACCUUGCGCGAUUGAAUGAGCCGAUGUCGGAUUAGCUAGUUGGCGGGGUAAAGGCCCACCAAGGCGACGAUCCGUAGCUGGUCUGAGAGGAGGAUCAGCCACACUGGAACUGAGACACGGUCCAGACUCCUACGGGAGGCAGCAGUGGGGAAUAUUGGACAAUGGGCGCAAGCCUGAUCCAGCCAUACCGCGUGGGUGAAGAAGGCCUUCGGGUUGUAAAGCCCUUUGUUGGGAAAGAAAAGCAGCAGGUUAAUACCCCGCUGUUCUGACGGUACCCAAAGAAUAAGCACCGGCUAACUUCGUGC
Molecule: ribosomal RNA, 492 nt
Filed under: uncultured bacterium
Lineage: Bacteria
Description: partial 16S ribosomal RNA
Rfam family: Bacterial small subunit ribosomal RNA
Source: RNAcentral